RNAcentral lists this transfer RNA (73 nucleotides) under Sphingobacteriaceae bacterium. Its description in RNAcentral is "tRNA-Lys". It matches the Rfam family "tRNA". From Rfam's summary of the family: Transfer RNA (tRNA) molecules are approximately 80 nucleotides in length. Their secondary structure includes four short double-helical elements and three loops (D, anti-codon, and T loops). Further hydrogen bonds mediate the characteristic L-shaped molecular structure. tRNAs have two regions of fundamental functional importance: the anti-codon, which is responsible for specific mRNA codon recognition, and the 3' end, to which the tRNAs corresponding amino acid is attached (by aminoacyl-tRNA synthetases). tRNAs cope with the degeneracy of the genetic code in two manners: having more than one tRNA (with a specific anti-codon) for a particular amino acid; and 'wobble' base-pairing, i.e. permitting non-standard base-pairing at the 3rd anti-codon position. The record is from RNAcentral. Lineage: Bacteria; Pseudomonadati; Bacteroidota; Sphingobacteriia; Sphingobacteriales; Sphingobacteriaceae.
GGGUGCAUAGCUCAACUGGCAGAGCUGCAGACCUUUAAUCUGAUGGUUAUAGGUUCGAGUCCUAUUGCACCCA